GCGGCACUAGCUCAUCCGGAUAGAGCAACGGCCUUCUAAGCCGUAGGCGGCCUGUUCGAGUCAGGCGUGCCGCA
Molecule: transfer RNA, 74 nt
Filed under: Spirochaetaceae bacterium
Lineage: Bacteria; Pseudomonadati; Spirochaetota; Spirochaetia; Spirochaetales; Spirochaetaceae
Description: tRNA-Arg
Rfam family: tRNA
About the family: Transfer RNA (tRNA) molecules are approximately 80 nucleotides in length. Their secondary structure includes four short double-helical elements and three loops (D, anti-codon, and T loops). Further hydrogen bonds mediate the characteristic L-shaped molecular structure. tRNAs have two regions of fundamental functional importance: the anti-codon, which is responsible for specific mRNA codon recognition, and the 3' end, to which the tRNAs corresponding amino acid is attached (by aminoacyl-tRNA synthetases). tRNAs cope with the degeneracy of the genetic code in two manners: having more than one tRNA (with a specific anti-codon) for a particular amino acid; and 'wobble' base-pairing, i.e. permitting non-standard base-pairing at the 3rd anti-codon position.
Source: RNAcentral